CACGUAGGGGGCAAGCGUUGUCCGGAUUUAUUGGCCGUAAAGAGCGUGUAGGCGGCCAGAAAAGUCCGCUGUGAAAACUCGAGGCUCAACUUCGAGCUGUCGGUGGAAACUUUCUGGCUAGAGUCCGGAAGAGGAGAAUGGAAUUCCUGGUGUAGCGGUGAAAUGCGCAGAUAUCAGGAAGAACACCCGUGGCGAAGGCGGUUCUCUGGGACGGUACUGAUGCUGAGACGCGAAAGCGUGGGGAGCGAACAGG
RNAcentral lists this ribosomal RNA (253 nucleotides) under uncultured bacterium. RNAcentral's name for it is "partial 16S ribosomal RNA". It matches the Rfam family "Bacterial small subunit ribosomal RNA", at positions 524 to 776 of the family's 1533-position model. The record is from RNAcentral.